This 484-nucleotide ribosomal RNA is filed under the name uncultured bacterium. Its description in RNAcentral is "partial 16S ribosomal RNA". It matches the Rfam family "Bacterial small subunit ribosomal RNA", at positions 30 to 507 of the family's 1533-position model. The record is from RNAcentral.
AUUGAACGCUGGCGGCAUGCCUAACACAUGCAAGUCGAGCGGAUGCAGGGGGCUCGCUCUUGGAUUCAGUGGCGGACGGGUGAGUAAUGCAUAGGAAUCUGCCCGGUAGUGGGGGAUAGCGUCCGGAAAGGGGCGCUAAUACCGCAUACGUCCUGAGGGUGAAAGUGGGGGAUCUACGGACCUCACGCUAUCUGAUGAGCCUAGGUCGGAUUAGCUAGUUGGUGGGGUAAAGGCCUACCAAGGCGACGAUCCGUAACUGGUCUGAGAGGAUGACCAGCCACACUGGAACUGAGACACGGUCCAGACUCCUACGGGAGGCAGCAGUGGGGAAUAUUGGACAAUGGGCGAAAGCCUGAUCCAGCCAUGCCGCGUGUGGGAAGAAGGUCUUCGGAUUGUAAAGCGCUUUUAUUCGGGAAGAAAAGCAGUGAGUUAAUACCUCGCUGUGUUGACGGUACCAAAAGAAUAAGCACCGGCUAACUACGUG